AGAGUUUGAUCCUGGCUCAGAUUGAACGCUGGCGGCAUGCCUUACACAUGCAAGUCGAACGGCAGCACGAGAGCUUGCUCUUGGUGGCGAGUGGCGAACGGGUGAGUAAUAUAUCGGAACGUACCCUAGAGUGGGGGAUAACGUAGCGAAAGUUACGCUAAUACCGCAUACGAUCUACGGAUGAAAGUGGGGGAUCGCAAGACCUCAUGCCCAUGGAGCGGCCGAUAUCUGAUUAGCUAGUUGGUGGGGUAAAAGCUCACCAAGGCGACGAUCAGUAGCUGGUCUGAGAGGACGACCAGCCACACUGGAACUGAGACACGGUCCAGACUCCUACGGGAGGCAGCAGUGGGGAAUUUUGGACAAUGGGCGCAAGCCUGAUCCAGCAAUGCCGCGUGAGUGAAGAAGGCCUUCGGGUUGUAAAGCUCUUUUGUCAGGGAAGAAACGGUGGACUCUAAUACAGAUCACUAAUGACGGUACCUGGAGAAUAAGCACCGGCUAACUACGUGCCAGCAGCCGCGGUAAUACGUAGGGUGCAAGCGUUAAUCGGAAUUACUGGGCGUAAAGCGUGCGCAGGCGGUUGUGCAAGACAGAUGUGAAAUCCCCGGGCUCAACCUGGGAAUUGCAUUUGUGACUGCACGGCUAGAGUGUGUCAGAGGGGGGUAGAAUUCCACGUGUAGCAGUGAAAUGCGUAGAGAUGUGGAGGAAUACCGAUGGCGAAGGCAGCCCCCUGGGAUAACACUGACGCUCAUGCACGAAAGCGUGGGGAGCAAACAGGAUUAGAUACCCUGGUAGUCCACGCCCUAAACGAUGUCUACUAGUUGUCGGGUCUUAAUUGACUUGGUAACGCAGCUAACGCGUGAAGUAGACCGCCUGGGGAGUACGGUCGCAAGAUUAAAACUCAAAGGAAUUGACGGGGACCCGCACAAGCGGUGGAUGAUGUGGAUUAAUUCGAUGCAACGCGAAAAACCUUACCUACCCUUGACAUGUCUGGAAUCCUUGAGAGAUCAGGGAGUGCUCGAAAGAGAAUCAGAACACAGGUGCUGCAUGGCUGUCGUCAGCUCGUGUCGUGAGAUGUUGGGUUAAGUCCCGCAACGAGCGCAACCCUUGUCAUUAGUUGCUACGAAAGGGCACUCUAAUGAGACUGCCGGUGACAAACCGGAGGAAGGUGGGGAUGACGUCAAGUCCUCAUGGCCCUUAUGGGUAGGGCUUCACACGUCAUACAAUGGUACAUACAGAGGGUCGCCAACCCGCGAGGGGGAGCUAAUCCCAGAAAGUGUAUCGUAGUCCGGAUUGUAGUCUGCAACUCGACUACAUGAAGUUGGAAUCGCUAGUAAUCGCGGAUCAGCAUGUCGCGGUGAAUACGUUCCCGGGUCUUGUACACACCGCCCGUCACACCAUGGGAGCGGGUUUCACCAGAAGUGGGUAGCCUAACCGCAAGGAGGGCGCUCACCACGGUGGGAUUCGUGACUGGGGUGAAGUCGUAACAAGGUA
RNAcentral lists this ribosomal RNA (1491 nucleotides) under metagenome. RNAcentral's name for it is "bacterial SSU rRNA". It matches the Rfam family "Bacterial small subunit ribosomal RNA". The record is from RNAcentral.